UGUGGGAGCGGGCUUGCUCGCGAAGGCGGUGGUUCAGUCACUUAUUAGUCGACUGACACUGCGCAUUCGCGAGCAAGCCCGCUCCCACA
Molecule: unclassified non-coding RNA, 89 nt
Filed under: Pseudomonas fluorescens
Lineage: Bacteria; Pseudomonadati; Pseudomonadota; Gammaproteobacteria; Pseudomonadales; Pseudomonadaceae
Source: RNAcentral